RNAcentral lists this ribosomal RNA (497 nucleotides) under uncultured bacterium. Its description in RNAcentral is "partial 16S ribosomal RNA". It matches the Rfam family "Bacterial small subunit ribosomal RNA", at positions 28 to 507 of the family's 1533-position model. The record is from RNAcentral.
GAUGAACGCUGGCGGCGUGCCUAAUACAUGCAAGUCGAGCGAACAGACGAGGAGCUUGCUCCUCUGACGUUAGCGGCGGACGGGUGAGUCACACGUGGAUAACCUACCUAUAAGACUGGGAUAACUUCGGGAAACCGGAGCUAAUACCGGAUAAUAUAUUGAACCGCAUGGUUCAAUAGUGAAAGACGGUUUUGCUGUCACUUCUAGAUGGAUCCGCGCCGCAUUAGCUAGUUGUUAAGGUAACGGCUUACCAAGGCGACGAUGCGUAGCCGACCUGAGAGGGUGAUCGGCCACACUGGAACUGAGACACGGUCCAGACUCCUACGGGAGGCAGCAGUAGGGAAUCUUCCGCAAUGGGCGAAAGCCUGACGGAGCAACGCCGAGUGAGUGAUGAAGGUCUUCGGAUCGUAAAACUCUGUUAUUAGGGAAGAACAAAUGUGUAAGGAACUGUGGCCGUCUUGACGGUACCUAAUAAGAAAGCAACGGCUAACUACGUG